This 343-nucleotide unclassified non-coding RNA is filed under the name soil metagenome. Its description in RNAcentral is "partial contains 5.8S ribosomal RNA, internal transcribed spacer 2, and large subunit ribosomal RNA". The stretch from base 1 to 120 matches the Rfam family "5.8S ribosomal RNA", at positions 35 to 154 of the family's 154-position model. The record is from RNAcentral.
GAUGAAGAACGUAGCGAAAUGCGAUAAGUAAUGUGAAUUGCAGAAUUCAGUGAAUCAUCGAAUCUUUGAACGCACAUUGCGCCCGCCAGCAUUCUGGCGGGCAUGCCUGUUCGAGCGUCAUUUCAACCCUCGAGCCCCCCCCGGGGGCCUCGGUGUUGGGGGACGGCACACCAGCCGCCCCCGAAAUGCAGUGGCGACCCCGCCGCAGCCUCCCCUGCGUAGUAGCACACACCUCGCACCGGAGCGCGGAGGCGGUCACGCCGUAAAACGCCCAACUUUCUUAGAGUUGACCUCGGAUCAGGUAGGAAUACCCGCUGAACUUAAGCAUAUAAUAAGCGGAGGA